This 249-nucleotide ribosomal RNA is filed under the name Triticum aestivum (bread wheat). RNAcentral's name for it is "partial small subunit ribosomal RNA". Lineage: Eukaryota; Viridiplantae; Streptophyta; Magnoliopsida; Poales; Poaceae. The record is from RNAcentral.
AUGGCGACCAAGAGGUGCGCAGGCACCCUGGGUGACAAGGGCCUCAGGGGGGAGAAGGUGUUCCUUAGUGCCGAUCUGAACGUUCUGCUGGACGACGGCCUGAACAUCACUGGUGACAACCGCAUCCGCGCCUCCAUGCCGUCCAUCAAGUUCCUCAUGGGGAAGGGCGCCAAGGUUGUCCUGGCCAACCAUCUGGUGAGCGCACGCUUCUGCCAUUCAGUCAGCCUCCCGUGUGGCGCACGACUGUAG